UUAUUUGCAGCGUUUUUCACAUCGCUACAAAUGUGUUAACACAUUUGUUACCUGGCCGGGAGGAGUGUAUUGAAAUUAUUUGUUACAGCGAGUUUUUGAGUAAUAGCGGCAAUUAGUGGCGCUGUAAAUAAAAAUGGACUUGUUACGGCACUGGGACCUACGUCGGGAUGAAGCUGGGCGCCAAAGUAGUAAAAAUGUUUUAAUUUCCCCCCACCCCCCGCCCCAACAUUUCGCAGACCACAGUACCUUUCUUCCCUCGUGUUCAGAGAACUCCCUAACCGCAAGCAUCCAUCUGCAAAACCUAUUUGCCCUACCUCCACCUGCAAAUUGCGAGUUCGACCAACUGGUUUGGGGGGAACCGAACUUGAAGCUAGAAGGAUUCACAAGGCACACACGUUCACGGGGCUCUCUUUCAGUUUUCGGAGUCCUAUUUUCCCACCCCCUUCCCCCCUAGUUCGUGUAAAUUCCUCUGUUUUUGGUCUAUCAAUUCCGACUAUAGAGCCCCCUUCGCUGAGCAUUAGGUUUUGGUGCCCUGUUAUUAGGCUGUUCACCGCGGAUUUGGGUUCAAUUUGCAGCGUCGACCGAUGCUGAUUUUCAGCUCAUAGUGGUCAUUGUGAAGCACGAUCCUUUUCUUGGUGGCAAAGGGUUAUUGGUAGAAGCCUCUUCCCCUUCAUUUCCUCCACUCGGUUGGUCUAUGAAAAAUUAGCUGCUGGAUCUUUGAUUGCAACAAGAUAACAUUGAAGGGCUACGUAACCUAUGGUGUCUCACAUGGGGGGCUUUGGUAGAUGUUCCAGCGGCUCUUCCUUGGACACCUAAACCUGCUGUAUUGGGCUGUAUUUAUGGAGAGAACUUGAAAUUUACACAUGUAUUUCCUGUUAGCUUGACUCCGAAACAUAGUAGUUAAAAUUCCCUUCCAUUAAUGCACCGUCCUAAUGUAUUGAUUACUAAAAGAUUGUAACAAUGUUGUAUUGGAUUUCUGAAUUUUUAUUAUAUUGAAAAUGUUAUGGUUGU
This is a long non-coding RNA of Carya illinoinensis, 1011 nucleotides long. RefSeq lists it as uncharacterized. The transcript is spliced from 3 exons. The record is from RefSeq and is a predicted model, not a curated record. Lineage: Eukaryota; Viridiplantae; Streptophyta; Magnoliopsida; Fagales; Juglandaceae.